AGCGAACGCUGGCGGCAGGCCUAACACAUGCAAGUCGAACGAACUCUUCGGAGUUAGUGGCGGACGGGUGAGUAACACGUGGGAACGUGCCUUUAGGUUCGGAAUAACUCAGGGAAACUUGUGCUAAUACCGAAUGUGCCCUUCGGGGGAAAGAUUUAUCGCCUUUAGAGCGGCCCGCGUCUGAUUAGCUAGUUGGUGAGGUAAAGGCUCACCAAGGCGACGAUCAGUAGCUGGUCUGAGAGGAUGAUCAGCCACAUUGGGACUGAGACACGGCCCAAACUCCUACGGGAGGCAGCAGUGGGGAAUCUCGCGCAAUGGGCGAAAGCCUGACGCAGCCAUGCCGCGUGAAUGAUGAAGGUCUUAGGAUUGUAAAAUUCUUUCACCGGGGACGAUAAUGACGGUACCCGGAGAAGAAGCCCCGGCGAACUUCGU
This 432-nucleotide ribosomal RNA is filed under the name uncultured bacterium. Its description in RNAcentral is "partial 16S ribosomal RNA". It matches the Rfam family "Bacterial small subunit ribosomal RNA", at positions 29 to 506 of the family's 1533-position model. The record is from RNAcentral.